UACAGAGGGUGCAAGCGUUGUUCGGAAUUAUUGGGCGUAAAGGGCGCGUAGGCGGUGCCACAAGUCACCUGUGAAAUCUCCGGGCUUAACUCGGAGCCUGCAGGCGAAACUGUGGUGCUGGAGUGUGGGAGAGGUGCGUGGAAUUCCGGUGUAGCGGUGAAAUGACGUAGAUAUUCGGAAGAACACCAGUGGCGAAGGCGACUUACUGGACACAUAUUGACGCUG
Molecule: ribosomal RNA, 225 nt
Filed under: uncultured bacterium
Lineage: Bacteria
Description: partial 16S ribosomal RNA
Rfam family: Bacterial small subunit ribosomal RNA
Source: RNAcentral